GAAUAUCUUCGGGGCAGGGUGAAAUUCCCGACCGGCGGUAAAGCCCGCGAGCCGAAAGGCUGACCUGGUGAAAUUCCAGGGCCGACAGUUAAAGUCUGGAUGGGAGAAGGUAUUA
RNAcentral lists this non-coding RNA (115 nucleotides) under Caloramator australicus. Its description in RNAcentral is "FMN sequence". It matches the Rfam family "FMN riboswitch aptamer (RFN element)". Rfam says of the family: The RFN element is a highly conserved domain that is found frequently in the 5'-untranslated regions of prokaryotic mRNAs that encode for flavin mononucleotide (FMN) biosynthesis and transport proteins. This element is a metabolite-dependent riboswitch that directly binds FMN in the absence of proteins. In Bacillus subtilis, the riboswitch most likely controls gene expression by causing premature transcription termination within the 5' untranslated region of the ribDEAHT operon and precluding access to the ribosome-binding site of ypaA mRNA. The record is from RNAcentral. RNAcentral also lists the same sequence under 1 other name. Lineage: Bacteria; Bacillati; Bacillota; Clostridia; Eubacteriales; Clostridiaceae.